AUUGCCUCAGUAACGGCGAGUGAAGCGGCAAAAGCUCAAAUUUGAAAUCCCCCCGGGGAGUUGUAAUUUGAAGAUUGCGUCUUGGAGGCGACCGUGUCUAUGUUCCUUGGAACAGGACGUCACAGAGGGUGAGAAUCCCGUGCGGCACGGCCCCCGGCUCCUUAUAAGGCGCUCUCGACGAGUCGAGUUGUUUGGGAAUGCAGCUCAAAGUGGGUGGUAAAUUCCAUCUAAAGCUAAAUACAGGCGAGAGACCGAUAGCGAACAAGUACAGUGAUGGAAAGAUGAAAAGCACUUUGAAAAGAGAGUGAAACAGCACGUGAAAUUGUUGAAAGGGAAGGGCAUGCCGUCAGAUUGUCAGUGUGGGUAAGAAGCGGGGUACAAAGACUGUGGAACGUGGCCCUCGGGUGUUAUAGCCGCAGUUCAUGCCCCGUCUCUUUCCGAGGCCUGCUUUGAGGACACCGACGUAAUGACGGUACGCCGCCCGUCUUGAAACACGGACC
Molecule: ribosomal RNA, 500 nt
Filed under: uncultured Kodamaea
Lineage: Eukaryota; Fungi; Ascomycota; Pichiomycetes; Serinales; Metschnikowiaceae
Description: eukaryotic LSU rRNA
Rfam family: Eukaryotic large subunit ribosomal RNA
Source: RNAcentral